RNAcentral lists this ribosomal RNA (624 nucleotides) under Rana temporaria (common frog). Its description in RNAcentral is "partial 16S ribosomal RNA". The stretch from base 1 to 423 matches the Rfam family "Bacterial large subunit ribosomal RNA", at positions 692 to 1300 of the family's 2925-position model. Lineage: Eukaryota; Metazoa; Chordata; Amphibia; Anura; Ranidae. The record is from RNAcentral.
GCAAAUGUAACUUUCAGUUUGAUACCCCGAAACCAAGCGAGCUACUUCAGAACAGCCAAAAGGGCCAACCCGUCUCUGUUGCAAAAGAGUGGGAAGAUUCUCAAGUAGAGGUGACAAGCCUACCGAGCUUGGAGAUAGCUGGUUGUUCAGAAAAAGAGUUUUAGCUCUACCUUAAGUUUUCUCAUUAAACUAAACAAACCCCAAAACUUAAGAGCUAUUCAAAUAAGGCACAGCUUAUUUGAAAUAGGGCACAGCCUACAACAUAGGGUAAACAAGAGUAACUUAAAUAAAGUAGGCCUAAAAGCAGCCACCUUUAAAAAAGCGUCAAAGCUUAACCACUCCCUACUCACAAUACCUUAAAUUUUCACUAACCCCUCACUAUUACUGAAUAAUUUUAUAAUUAUAUAAAAGCUAUCAUGCUAGAACUAGUAACAAGAAAUUGCCUUUCUCCUAAAUGUAAACAUAAACCAAAAUAGACUAUCUAUUGGUUAUUAACGUAAAUGCCAAAUUAUAGCAACAUCCUCCAGAAAAUCCUAUAGCCCCCAACGUUAACCUUACACUAGAACAUUUCAGGAAAGAUUUAAAGAAAAAGAAGGAACUCGGCAAAUUUUAGCCUCGCCUGUU